UGGGGAAUAUUGCACAAUGGGCGCAAGCCUGAUGCAGCCAUGCCGCGUGUAUGAAGAAGGCCUUCGGGUUGUAAAGUACUUUCAGCGAGGAGGAAGGCGUUGUGGUUAAUAACCGCAACGAUUGACGUUACUCGAAGAAGAAGCACCGGCUAACUCCGUGCCAGCAGCCGCGGUAAUACGGAGGGUGCAAGCGUUAAUCGGAAUUACUGGGCGUAAAGCGCACGCAGGCGGUCUGUCAAGUCGGAUGUGAAAUCCCCGGGCUCAACCUGGGAACUGCAUCCGAAACUGGCAGGCUAGAGUCUUGUAGAGGGGGGUAGAAUUCCAGGUGUAGCGGUGAAAUGCGUAGAGAUCUGGAGGAAUACCGGUGGCGAAGGCGGCCCCCUGGACAAAGACUGACGCUCAGGUGCGAAAGCGUGGGGAGCAAACA
Molecule: ribosomal RNA, 427 nt
Filed under: uncultured bacterium
Lineage: Bacteria
Description: partial 16S ribosomal RNA
Rfam family: Bacterial small subunit ribosomal RNA
Source: RNAcentral